UACGAGGGGUGCAAGCGUUAUUCGGAAUAACUGGGCGUAAAGAGCGCGUAGGCGGUUUGUUAAGUCUGUUGUUAAAUUGCUCAGCUCAACUGGGUGUCGGCAAUAGAAACUGGCAAGCUAGAGGACAAGAGAGAGGGGUGGAAUUCUCGGAGUAGCGGUAAAAUGCGUAGAUCUCGAGAGGAACACCGAUGGCGAAGGCAGCCCCUUGGCUUGUAUCUGACGCUCAAGUGCGAAAGCGUGGGGAGCAAACAGGAUUAGAAACCCUGGUAGUCC
This 273-nucleotide ribosomal RNA is filed under the name uncultured prokaryote. RNAcentral's name for it is "partial 16S ribosomal RNA". It matches the Rfam family "Bacterial small subunit ribosomal RNA", at positions 524 to 796 of the family's 1533-position model. The record is from RNAcentral.